Long non-coding RNA from Engraulis encrasicolus (European anchovy), 1031 nucleotides. RefSeq lists it as uncharacterized. The transcript has 3 exons. The record is from RefSeq and is a predicted model, not a curated record. Lineage: Eukaryota; Metazoa; Chordata; Actinopteri; Clupeiformes; Engraulidae.
CGUAGGGUUCAAUGGGUUCAAAGGGUUCUACGGUAAUUACUCAGUGUGCGUGGCUGCACGAACUCAGCUGACACAUCCAACACAGACUUCAAGCAGUUGAUACAGGCUGCUAUUUAGUGGUUGUGACGGCAUUUGAUUGCGUUUUUGUUUUCAUCAUAUAACAAAUUUGGCGUAACCUCUGGUAGGUACACAGAAUACAGCAGUCGGAUCACUUGUCUAGCUUACGUUGCUCCAGUGCAGGCAGCUGUGGAGUUACGUGAGUUGCUAUGCAACCUGCUCCCACUGUCUGUCAUUUUUUCAUUCCUAUCCGUGAAUAGCUUGGAAAGCCAGAUGCAGUCGAAUAUUGGGUUUAUGUUUCCUUGACAUUUAUGUCUCUGUUCUGACUCAGACAAUUUUCUUGUAUAGAAUUUGAGAGGCUUAUUGUGGAUCAUGGAAAGUUAUAUUGUGUAUUUUUUCCUAAUGGCCGCAAUUCUCAUCUACAGAAGUUCCUGUUACAGACGGUCAUGAUGAGUAGAAGAAGGCAACACGAUGAAGCAAAACUCCUCCAUCACCACUACGUCGGAGUCUUCCCAUUCAGUCAUCAUCCAAUUUGCUCCAAAGAAUCAAACACAAACAGACGCUUCUUACAGAUGGCUGUCCUCUAGAAUGAAAAUGCGCACCAACCACCGGCAAACAUCAAAAGCUAAUCCAACCUUUGGCUUUGUGUGGAAAGGUCUUUGGAAACCCUGCGACUGAUGCAAUGUUGGUGCCCUAGAAGACAAGUCAGCACAGUUCAGACGAGCCAGCCAGAGGAGGUCACCGCCAGCCUUGUAUCGAGGUUCCAACGUCCUUCAUCGGGGAACUCGGCAUGGAUAUGCAAGACGACACUCGAAUCACUGAUGGACAAAUGCCUGAAACGGCUGGAAAAAUAGAAAAGAUGGUUACAGAGACUGUUAUUGCUGUUCUUCUUUCAGUACAAUAUUUGCCUUCCAUAAAAUAUUCACAUGUUCCAAUUUAAUAUUCUUGAUGCUGUUGUAAAUAAAAUUUGCACA